This 477-nucleotide ribosomal RNA is filed under the name uncultured bacterium. Its description in RNAcentral is "bacterial SSU rRNA". It matches the Rfam family "Bacterial small subunit ribosomal RNA", at positions 365 to 832 of the family's 1533-position model. The record is from RNAcentral.
UUCGCAAUGCCCGAAAGGGUGACGAAGCGACGCCGCGUGCGGGAAGAAGGCCUUCGGGUUGUAAACCGCUGUCGGGAGUUAAGAAAUGCAAGGGUGUUAACAGCAUCCUUGCUUGACUAAGGCUCCGGAGGAAGCCACGGCUAACUCUGUGCCAGCAGCCGCGGUAAUACAGAGGCGGCAAGCGUUGUUCGGAAUUAUUGGGCGUAAAGAGCACGUAGGCGGCCGUGUAAGUCGGCUGUGAAAGCCUUCCGCUCAACGGGAGAACGGCAUCCGAUACUGCAUGGCUUGAGUGCGGGAGGGGAGAGUGGAACUUCUGGUGGAGCGGUGAAAUGCGUAGAUAUCAGAAGGAACGCCGGCGGCGAAAGCGGCUCUCUGGCCCGUAACUGACGCUGAGUGUGCGAAAGCUAGGGGAGCAAACGGGAUUAGAUACCCCGGUAGUCCUAGCCGUAAACGAUGGGCACUAAGUAGAGGGGUUUU